RNAcentral lists this ribosomal RNA (698 nucleotides) under Salmonella enterica. Its description in RNAcentral is "partial 23S ribosomal RNA". It matches the Rfam family "Bacterial large subunit ribosomal RNA", at positions 1 to 1190 of the family's 2925-position model. The record is from RNAcentral. RNAcentral also lists the same sequence under 2 other names. Lineage: Bacteria; Pseudomonadati; Pseudomonadota; Gammaproteobacteria; Enterobacterales; Enterobacteriaceae.
GCCAGUGGUGAACUCCACAUCCGCAUCCUUUGCUGAGGAUACGGUUAACGGAGCGAAAGCGACGUUCAACCGCAAAACAAGCAGAGGGGGCUUAGUGGUGGGGUGACUGCGUACCUUUUGUAUAAUGGGUCAGCGACUUAUAUUCUGUAGCAAGGUUAACCGAAUAGGGGAGCCGGAGGGAAACCGAGUCUUAAUUGGGCGUUAAGUUGCAGGGUAUAGACCCGAAACCCGGUGAUCUAGCCAUGGGCAGGUUGAAGGUUGGGUAACACUAACUGGAGGACCGAACCGACUAAUGUUGAAAAAUUAGCGGAUGACCUGUGGCUGGGGGUGAAAGGCCAAUCAAACCGGGAGAUAGCUGGUUCUCCCCGAAAGCUAUUUAGGUAGCGCCUCGUGAAUUCAUCUCCGGGGGUAGAGCACUGUUUCGGCUAGGGGGCCAUCCCGGCUUACCAACCCGAUGCAAACUGCGAAUACCGGAGAAUGUUAUCACGGGAGACACACGGCGGGUGCUAACGUCCGUCGUGAAGAGGGAAACAACCCAGACCGCCAGCUAAGGUCCCAAAGUCAUGGUUAAGUGGGAAACGAUGUGGGAAGGCCCAGACAGCCAGGAUGUUGGCUUAGAAGCAGCCAUCAUUUAAAGAAAGCGUAAUAGCUCACUGGUCGAGUCGGCCUGCGCGGAAGAUGUAACGGGGCUAAACCAU